This is a non-coding RNA of Acanthosepion pharaonis, 111 nucleotides long. The record is from the annotation of a GenBank genome assembly. NCBI's taxonomy places the organism in Eukaryota, Metazoa, Mollusca, Cephalopoda, Sepiida, Sepiidae.
UAUGCUCAUAUCAUGUUGAAACACCAGUUCCCAUAUGAUCACUGAAGUUAAGCAAUGUUGCACAUAGUCAGUAUCUAGAUGGAUGGCUGUGUGGGGAUAGCAGGUGCUAUA